AUUGAACGCUGGCGGCAGGCUUAACACAUGCAAGUCGAGCGGUAGCACAGGGGAGCUUGCUCCCUGGGUGACGAGUGGCGGACGGGUGAGUAAUGUCUGGGAAACUGCCUGAUGGAGGGGGAUAACUACUGGAAACGGUAGCUAAUACCGCAUAACGUCGCAAGACCAAAGAGGGGGACCUUCGGGCCUCUUGCCAUCAGAUGUGCCCAGAUGGGAUUAGCUAGUAGGUGGGGUAAUGGCUCACCUAGGCGACGAUCCCUAGCUGGUCUGAGAGGAUGACCAGCCACACUGGAACUGAGACACGGUCCAGACUCCUACGGGAGGCAGCAGUGGGGAAUAUUGCACAAUGGGCGCAAGCCUGAUGCAGCCAUGCCGCGUGUGUGAAGAAGGCCUUCGGGUUGUAAAGCACUUUCAGCGAGGAGGAAGGUGGUGAGCUUAAUACGUUCAUCAAUUGACGUUACUCGCAGAAGAAGCACCGGCUAUCUCCGUG
Molecule: ribosomal RNA, 490 nt
Filed under: uncultured bacterium
Lineage: Bacteria
Description: partial 16S ribosomal RNA
Rfam family: Bacterial small subunit ribosomal RNA
Source: RNAcentral